GAACCAGCCAAAUCGCGUGAAGGAAGACUGCCUUAUGGGUUGUAAACUUCUUUUAUACAGGAAUAAAAAAGGGGACGUGUCCCUUAUUGCAUGUACUGUAUGAAUAAGCAUCGGCUAACUCCGUGCCAGCAGCCGCGGUAAUACGGAGGAUGCGAGCGUUAUCCGGAUUUAUUGGGUUUAAAGGGUGCGCAGGCGGGCUUUUAAGUCAGCGGUGAAAUCUCGGGGCUUAACUCCGAAACUGCCGUUGAAACUGGGAGUCUUGAGUAUGGAUGAAGUAGGCGGAAUUCGUUGUGUAGCGGUGACAUGCUUAGAUAUAACGAGGAACUCCGAUUGCGUAGGCAGCUUACUAAGCCAUAACUGACGCUCAAGCACGAAAGCGUGGGGAUCAAACAGGAUUAGAUACCCUGGUAGUCCACGCCGUAAACGAUGAUUACUAGUUGUAUGCGAUAUACCGUAUGUGACUAAGCGAAAGCGAUAAGUAAUCCACCUGGGGAGUACGCCGGCAACGGUGAAACUCAAAGGAAUUGACGGGGGCCCGCACAAGCGGAGGAACAUGUGGUUUAAUUCGAUGAUACGCGAGGAACCUUACCCGGGCUUGAAAUGUACAUGAAUUACGUUGAAAGAUGUAAGCCAGCAAUGGCAUGUAUGUAGGUGCUGCAUGGUUGUCGUCAGCUCGUGCCGUGAGGUGUCGGCUUAAGUGCCAUAACGAGCGCAACCCCCAUUGUUAGUUACUAACAGGUUAAGCUGAGGACUCUAAUAAGACUGCCGUCGUAAGAUGCGAGGAAGGUGUGGAUGACGUCAAAUCAGCACGGCCCUUACGUCCGGGGCGACACACGUGUUACAAUGGGAGGUACAAAGGGCUGCUACCUGGUGACAGGAUGCUAAUCCCCAAAGCCUCUCCCAGUUCGGAUCGGAGUCUGCAACUCGACUCCGUGAAGCUGGAUUCGCUAGUAAUCGCGCAUCAGCCAUGGCGCGGUGAAUACGUUCCCGGGCCUUGUACACACCGCCCGUCAAGCCAUGGGAGCCGGGGGUAUCUGAAGUGCGUAACCGCAAGGAGCGUCCUAGGGUAAAACUGGUGACUGGGGCU
RNAcentral lists this ribosomal RNA (1087 nucleotides) under uncultured bacterium. Its description in RNAcentral is "bacterial SSU rRNA". It matches the Rfam family "Bacterial small subunit ribosomal RNA", at positions 385 to 1482 of the family's 1533-position model. The record is from RNAcentral.